GAAACAGUUAAUUAGGUGGAGCCAAAGAGCUCUGGGCGGUGAGCAAGCCUCCUACUUUCCUGUCCCCUGCACCCACCUUUUAAACACGUAUUCUGUCUCUUUCUAACUCCUUUGUCUCCUCUGGACUCCGGGUUCCUGCCGGGUGGUGUAGGGCUGGUUUCCCCAACAUCUGGUGCCGAAUGCAGGGCUCCCCGUAAUCUCUACAAAUAAUCUGGUGAAGGAACGCCAGAGCGUGGAAAGUGGAGGAGGACUGAGGAAGGAAGCCUGAGUACGUUUUCACUUCAAGCUCUACGGGAGGAUUGAGUACUCCAGGGGGAGUGAAUGUGAUGGGUUAUGCCUAAGGCUGAAUGAAAGCUGCUGGGUUGCUUUAGCUGUGAAAGUGGUCCAUUAUCACUCUUCAGACUUUCAGGUCCAGGCCACAGAUGAAAUUGUGCCAUACCUGGAACAAGCACUAAACCAAGUAUAACACCUUCCUUGGCUAUGCCUACAAAAUGGCACUUUUAUAUAUCCCUGGGACCAUCAUCCCGAUGAGGUGAAUUAUCCCCCUGAAACCUGCCUACAAAGAGAAUUGGGUCUUAUAUCUAGAUCCAUCAUCUGACUCUUUUCGUUUUCCUGCAGAGAUAUUGCUGGAGCAUGACAUAUAAGAUUCAUUUCAAAAAGUGAAUCUGAGAAAAUAUAGAAGCUGUGACCUUAAUAGUUUACAUUAAAAAAAAAAAGACUACCAAAGUGUGGAUAAUUGCAAGGGGCAGAAGAGCAGUUAUAAUGGCCUUCAUCAAUGUUUGUCAACUACCCAUAGCAAAACCUGUCAAUGAAAUAAAUGUGGCAAAGCUUUUGAGUUGUGCUCAGUCUUUACUGAACAUAAGAAAAUUUUCAGCAUAGAGAAAUGCUACAAAUGUGAAGAAUGUGGCAAAGACUGUAGGUUGUUCUCAGAUAUUACUAUACAGAAGUGAAUUCAUACUGCAGAGAGAUGCUACAGACAUCAACAAUGUGGCAAAGCCUGAAAAUAUCUCAAAUGUUACUGAAUAUAAGAGAGCUCAUGCUGGGAUAUCUAACAAAUGCAAUGAAUGUGGCAAAACAUUUACCUGCUCCUCAACCUUUAUUAAACAAAGAGAAAUCAUACUGGAGACAAACCCUACAUAUGCGAAGAAUGUGGCAAAGCCUUUAAGUGCUUCUCUGACCUUACUAAUCAAAAGAGAAAUUAUACUGGAGGGAAAUCUUGCAAAUGUGAGGAAUGUAGCCUAUAGGUUGUUCUCAGAACUUGCUAAAUAUAAGAUAAUUCACACCGGGGAGAAACUCUACAAACGUGAAGAAUGUGAUGAAGACUAUAGUUGCUUCUCAGACCUUACUAAACAUGAUAAUUCAUAGUGGAGAGAAACCUUACAAAUGUAUUGAAUAUAAUAAAAGCUUUUAUGUGGUUCUCAGCCCUUAGUAAACACAAGUGUACAUCUGUGAAGAACAUAACCAUACAUCUGUGAAGAAUGUGGAACUGCCUUUACCUGCUUCUUCACCCUUAUUAACCACAAGAGAAUUAAUAUGGAAAAGAGACCUUCUGAAUGUGGAGAAUGUGGCAAAACCUUUAAGUGCUUCUCAGACAUUACUAAUCAUUAGAUAAUUCACACUGGAGAAAAACCCUACAAAUGUGAAAAAUGUGGCACAGCAUUGAGUUUUUCUCACACCUCAUUAGAGAAAAGAGAAUUCAUACUAGAGAGUAGAUUUACAAUUGUUAAAAAUGUGGAAAGUCUUUAACAAGUUCUCAUACUGUGUUCAACAUCAGAGUCUUCAUACCGAACAAAUGCAGUAUAAAGGUAAUGACUGUUAAUUCCAUGGCAGAAGGCCCAAACCAGAGAACUGGCCAGACAGUUCUGUUGCACCUAAGCAGCAUGUGCACUUUUCCAAGCACAUCUCAUUCCCUUCCUGACUCCAAUUAUUUCAACAGCACCUUCUCAUUUGCACCAGCCCAUUUUUGAGCCCCAACAAACUAUGAUUUUGAAAUACCUCUGAAGACCGCAUGAGCUAACCACUAAGGGUGACAGUGCUCUAGCCUACUCAAUUUCACCUGAGGGCAGAAACAAGGCAGGAGAGUCUUGUCACCUGGAUUCGGUGCUUAGGAUACUUUACAAUCUUCUUUGGAUGCAUGGCCAAGUCAGAAGGGUAACAUCAUCUGGGGACAGACUCAAGUAAUAUGGCACCACGUCUAUGGUAGAAAAGGUUGAAGAAAAACAGGAGAAUCACAUCACCUAGGUGUUGGGCUUAGCAAUAUGAAAUAAUCCCCUCUUUUGGCCAACUCCAGAAUAAAGAAGUGUGUU
Molecule: long non-coding RNA, 2306 nt
Filed under: Homo sapiens (human)
Lineage: Eukaryota; Metazoa; Chordata; Mammalia; Primates; Hominidae
Description: HSALNT0409245
Source: RNAcentral